Molecule: long non-coding RNA, 5916 nt
Organism: Athene cunicularia (burrowing owl)
Lineage: Eukaryota; Metazoa; Chordata; Aves; Strigiformes; Strigidae
Exons: 3
Source: RefSeq, a predicted model, not a curated record
AAAGGUGCAAUACCUAGAAGGAUGUGAGGCAGGGAAAAUGUAUGUUUGGAUGGCAUACCUCAGAGGAGGUUAAGUAACCUCCUUUUCUGCUUGUUUCGAAAGACUGUUCACAUAUAUUCAACACUGCAUGGCUAACCAGUAACACUCAGACUUACACCUCCUCAGAGAUGGGCUUCUGAAUCCUUCAUGUGGAAAUUCUGAUUAACUUUGCCACACACUACAUCCCUGGUGGUGCUUCUACAACAACAUGUUUUUUGGUAAUGGAGAGCUUCCAGGUGGCUGCUUGACAAACAUUACACAUUCCCAACAACUGGUACGACUUGAGCUCUGAUGGAUUAUAGUCCAGUGACAAAUGGAAAUACUACGUUUGUGGUCUCCAAAACAGACCUGAUCUGAUCUAUCUUGAAAACAGUUUGUCCAUCUCCAUGGAAAUGGGUGAGACCUUGUGUCUUUCAGCACUAAGACAACCAAACUCUGAAAGGAGUUCACCAGUGUAAAAGGAGUUUACCAGUGUAAAAACAAAAGUCCUUAGCAAUACUGAAAAUGAAAUAAGAAUCUCAGCUUUCAGCAUUCAGUUUGGGUAUGAAAAUGGUUAAUUCCCUGGCAGACUCUACUUUUGAGCAGAAGUCAGAAUGAGCUCACACAAACACCAUCUGUGGAAGGAAUAUUGUACAGAGGAUUUAGAUCAACUGAUGGAGAUUGAAUCUCACAUUAUUUUUCUUCCAGGAGUGUUGAUGGGCAGGUGAAGAGCUCAGAUGAGGAGCUGGUAUCUGUAAAACGCCUGUGCAAUAGUAACAGCCCCUCAACUAAUAGGACUCCAGGGAAGGAACAGAGAAAGAAGCUGCAGUCUCUGCAGAAAAAAACCAAUUAGUGUCACUUCUCUUGAUGCCAAUGAGAAGAUGCCAAGGGACCUAAAAAAUGACAACCAGUCUUCAGUCAAAGACAGUAUGUCCCUUUCCAAUUCAAAACAUUAAAAAGUAUGUAAAAUAUGAGAGGCUAUUAGGGAUCAUCCAUAGCGUCCAAGGAUGCCUUCAAGUAGGUUCCGGCUGUCAAACAAAUCUCUAGUAGAGAAGGGAAUAAAUCCUCCCUUAAGUACACAGGCAGAACAUUAAUGAAGCUAUACAACUGACCACUGAAUCUGUGCUCUUAAGAGAGGUAACAAAGCUUUGCACAUUUGUAGGCAAAGCUUGGUGACUGAGUAGGCAGCUCCUUUGCCCAAACCAUCAUUAUCUCAAAGAGCAGCCCACUUGGAUUUUUUCCUUCCACAAUCAUCACCACAAACAAUGAGAAAAACAAAUGGAAAUCACAAAUAGUCCCUUCAGAGAUAAAUUUGUUCCUCCAGUUGACCACUUAGGGAGUAAGAAAACCACAAAAUUCAGACCACAUACAGAAUUGCUUCACCCACAGAAACUGUCCUGUUCAUUGAGAGUGUGUCUGUAGGACAGAAAAUGUCCUGAAUGUUGUCAUCAACUUCUUUUCUAAGGAAUUGAAGGAAUCUAACAAUACAUUUUAAGGAAUCCCGAAAAGCUCUCUGGCUGUCAAUAAGGCACAAGGCCUCCCCUAAAAAAUAAUGGUGAUGCAAGCUCAACAACAGAACAGUCGAAAGAUAAUCUAAAGGAUGAAUGAGAAGCCUCAGCUUCUACACUAAAAGAAAUAUGGCAAGAAAGAAGGAAGUGAUAUGACAGUCAUCUCUCUCCUAAGGAACCUAUCACUAACAACUCUCCUGCAUGUUGGAAACUCACUGCCAACCACCGCAGCUGGCGUAGAUAACUGCUACUGUACAGGCAUGGACAGAAAUGGCAGCAGCACCUACACCACAAACCUCAGGAGGUUAAAAAGCUAGAUUUUUCAAUCAUUCCUCUUUUAUGAGGCAGGAAGGAAAGAAAGAACCUGUGAAUUGCUGCAAAGAAAACAGCUGUGACAUCCAGAACCACAAACAAGCACAACUGGUGCUGUUAGGCUGUCCUUAAAGAGGCAUAAGUGAAAGAUACAAUUCCACCAAUACCUGCAGCACCCUGCACAAACUAAACAUAAAAUUGCUGUUUAGAAUUCAAAGCCUGUGGACCAGAAAACAGUGAAGCAAGCCCAAGCUCAACUAGUACCAAAUGAAUAAGCAGGGCUUGAGGCUGUGCUGCUUGGAACAGAAGACUGUAAAUAUAAAUAAUGUUUGAUUCUGGUUUUCCCUUGAUGCAGGAGAGCCAGGAAUACUAGUUUCAGUGCCAAAAACUCUGCUUGGAAGUGCUUCAGUCCUCCUCAUGACCUCCUUCAGUCCUUCUCCUAAUGACCUGGGAUUUCUCAGUGCAACUGGACCCCAGAUGAGCUCAGGAACAAGAGCAUCUGCCGCUGGUAUGACAUUCAGGAGUUGGGUGGGGGUCUUCUCUGACACUCUGCUCUGAUGGAGCAUCAUGGUGCAGGCUUAAAGUGUCCAGUUUUCAAUACUUCCAAUAACUUGGGAUGAAAACUAGAAUCACUGCUUGCCUCUAAAGCAAAUUCCCAAAGUUUCAGCUUGGAUUCUCCAAGGCCACAGCACAUGAAGCGCAGACAGGCAGACCACCUGCCCAAGAAGCACAAGCAGUAUAUUUAUGCACUGGCUAAAACGUAAUUAACCACUACAGGGGGCACAAAGGCUCAUCAGUUGUGUGAAUUCUCCCAGAGAGAAAAAUUUUGAUGACCCAAGAUGAGGAAUGCAUAGCAACACACACUAAAACAUCCAGUAAUGACAAAAACUAAGACAAAAUAUGAACAAAAUCUAUGCUGAAGAAAUACCUCUAGUAAUAAAGUGCUCAGCCUCCAAUAGUCAGCUGAGAAGAACAUGUCCUUACUCAUGAACCAGCCAAGAGGGAAUGCACAGUAGAAGUCUGUCUUUUAUAGAUAGGUGUCAAACUUUACCAGUUCUUUAGUCUUCCAUUUUGGUAUACUGGAAACAUGAAUAUAGAUGGAUAAAGACUGCACUACUGCAGUAUGACCAGACCCUUCAGUUAUCUAAAGGCAAAUAACUAAACACCCUCCUUCAACUUCCAAAUUACAUUUUAUUCAGGGUCUUGGGGAUUAUGAGAAACCAAAAGGAAUGUGAAGUUGUACUUAAUGACUGGGCAGAACAGCUUUCACCUAGUUUGGGUACAUAUGUAUAAAUAUGGAACAACAUCAAAAGAACACAAGAACAAAGGUUACAUACAAGCACAGAAAAACAUCCAGACAAACAACAGCAAGGGAAGUAAAUCACCUCACCUGGAUUUAGCAUUCAUACAGGCAGAAACAAAACAAAAUAAAAAGGACAAAAUAACGUUUUUCUUACAAGUGGACAAACUCUCUUCUUUUAACACGUUUUAGUAUUUCCCGUGUUUCUGGUUCCUUCAGAAACAUGAAUAUUGCAUAAAGACAACAUGUAAUAUUGUCCUUCAUAGGAGAACCUGCGUUAAAACAAGUGAAAUGUCCAACAUUUACUUUGAAGAAAAAAAAAAAAAAAAGAUUCUCAGGACAUCAGAGGUCCUUGGGGCAUAAAGAUUACCAUGGUAUAAGGAUAUCUAAGAAAUAAGUCUGUGAUCCCAUAAGAUUGGGUAAUGCAUUCUUCUGAGAAAAUCUGAGAUGUCAGGGGCUUAAUUCUUCAUGAAAAACCCUCAGGACAUUUAGAAUGCCAAACGUAAGUGAAAUAUGGUUUUGAAUCUAUUCCAGCAGAUGCCACCCUCUGACGAGAUAAAGCACUUGCAUCUAAAGAGCAUGAGAUUCAUGGGCUACCUACACUUCAAAACUUUGAUUCCUGUUAGUCAAUAUAUAUGUCUGCACUAAAACACGUAUACAUACCAUAUUGUCAAUAAAUAACUUGAAUCACCCAAUGUGAUUGUAACUAAUAAAACCUGAUAUUCAGUAAACUCUUAAGAAGGGUGGCUUUCAUAAGGCUUACCCACUCAUAGUGUUUAAAAAUGAAAAAAAAUUGGAGAGCAACUGUUGAUAAUUUGAUUUUGGUGGCUACUCAUUAGCAUUCUCCUGAUUAGGAAAGUAGCUGAAAUUAGGCUGUUGUAUUUAGCUAAUGUUAACUUGAAUGUAAUUUCAAUCUUUUUUCCUAGUCUAAACAAGGAUCUCUGAUCUUCUCUGUCUUAAGGGAAGGACUUCUGCCAAGCCAAAGACAAAGAAUCAAGGUUCACAGAUGUGAGAAAUGGGAUGAGCUCCUCUGGGCAAGGCUGCUCCUUUCCUUUUACCUACAUUCCUCUCACAUUCAGCCAGCACUGUCAAACCACACCUUAUGCUGGGAAUCUAGAAAGUAUUACUGCAGACAAAUGAUUUCUGGGGAUAAAAUAAAAGUAUGCGAGAACAAAAACACAGGCAAGGAGAGAGAACUGUGUGUGAAGGAAGCCCAAACAAGAAAUGAAUAAUCCCUGAAAAAGAUGAUGUCUUCUGGGUUACUUCUAUCCUAGGGCAGCUACUCAAACAAAAUAAAGAGCAUGAAGAUUGAGGUACACACAGUUAAAGAUAACAUAACUAAACAGAAAUAAAACUGCACCUUAUUCAGUGCUGGUUUUGGUUUGCAUGUGUGUUAGCCCCAGAUCUCCUCUUACUUCUUAGUCUACUUUCCAAAAAAAGCAAUUUCAACUUACUUCCACCCAAUAGAGAAGUUACAAUUUUGAAGAUGUUAACAGCAAGCACGCACCAAAAGUUUGGAAGCUCAGAUCAGAAUUAUAUUAACGGUCAGAUUUACAAAGUGCAUCUGAAUAGUACCCUUUACACUGUGCAGAUUCCCUAGCAGGUUAUCUAUUAAACAACAGUAACCCUCAGGAGCAGGAGAGUAACAGCACAAGAAACAAAAGCUGGUGUGCUAGCGUCAGUAUUUGAAUAGCACCAAAAAAUAGAAGUACAGACUCAGGUCUAACCACUGGCUGUACAAAUGUGGUAUAGCUACUCUGACAUGAGGCAAGAAGAGUGGUGCAAUGGAAUGAAAUUUCCACAUUAAUGACAUUGUCACUCACCCCCUUAUUCUCUACUGAUUCAAAUCAGUACGGAAUAGAAGGCAGUAGCAAAAGUACUGUCUGUCAUCACAGUUCUGUAUCAAACAGGUCUAGUAAAAUUAUUAUUCUGAAUGGAUUGUUAAUGUGGGUUUUGAUGAUAAUAGUUUGGAAUAUUCAGACUUCUCAGACACUCAACUUCAUUCUGCUUGACAUUCUGUUGAGUAUAUUAAUAGGCAUGAGCAUCAAUGCAGAACACCUUAAAUGGAUCAAAAAAAAAAAAAUCACACGCUCCUAAGGUCUUGUAUGGAAUUAUGAUCCAAACGAGGUAUUUCUAGGGGAGCUCUGGAAGUAUCUCACAGAGCUCCGUCCUUUGACUAAUACUAGUCAUGUCCUGUAUUUGUAAUUAAAGGGGAAAAAACCCAUUCCUUCUUUCUGUAAACUUAAAGAAAAAAAGGAUUAUGAAGAAAGGUUAUCCUGAGGCAGAAAACAGUCUCAGCUUCACAUACAAGAAAAAGACCAGACCCUGAGCUGUUCAUUUCCCUUGGUGGUCAGGGAAAACUCCUUGAUUGUUGAUUGGUGCCAUGAAAAUAUCCCCCAGACAAAGGCUGGGAAAUAAGGGAGAUCAUGUGUUACAAACAAUUAGGAAGCAAGAGAGAACAAAAGGAAGAAAAUCGUUACACCACUGCUUACAUCAUGCUCAUCCAGGAUUUUAAUCCUGGGUGCAGUCUGGUACCUCCAGACAGAGGUGAAAGAGGUUCAGAGAAAUUCAGCAAGGAAGUUCAGAGGUCAAAUGCCUUCCACAAAGGACCACCUGGGUAAGCUGGGACUCUUCAGCAGAGGAGAGACACGGCCUGUGGGCUGCACAGGAAAGGUCUGUGACAUCCUGAAAGAUAGGGAGAGAGCAGGCAGCAGCUGUUCACUCUUCUGCAGCAGAGGAACAAGAGCCUCUGGAUACAGCUAGUGGGAGCAAGAAAAU